This 253-nucleotide ribosomal RNA is filed under the name uncultured bacterium. RNAcentral describes it as "partial 16S ribosomal RNA". It matches the Rfam family "Bacterial small subunit ribosomal RNA", at positions 524 to 776 of the family's 1533-position model. The record is from RNAcentral.
UACAGAGGGUGCAAGCGUUGUUCGGAAUCAUUGGGCGUAAAGGGCAGGUAGGUGGUUUAGUAAGUCGACUGUGAAAUCCCUGGGCUCAACCCAGGAACUGCGGUUGAUACUACUGAACUAGAGUGCUAGAGGGGUUCGUGGAAUACUCGGUGUAGCGGUGAAAUGCGUAGAUAUCGAGUGGAAUAUCAGAGGCGAAGGCGACGAACUGGAUAGCAACUGACACUCAACUGCGAAAGCGUGGGUAGCAAACAGG